UAAGGGGGGUGCAAGAGUUGUUCGGAAUCACUGGGUGUAAAGGGCAGGUAGGCGGGCCGAUAAGUCGGAUGUGAAAACCCCGUGGCUUAACCCGGGGCCGGCAUUGGAAACUAUCGGUCUUGAGUGCGGAAGAGGGAGAUGGAAUUCCUGGUGUAACGGUGAAAUGUGUAUAUAUCAGGAAGAACACCGGUGGCGAAGGCGGUCUCCUGGUCCGCUACUGACGCUGAGCUGCGAAAGCUAGGGUAGCAAACAGG
RNAcentral lists this ribosomal RNA (254 nucleotides) under uncultured bacterium. RNAcentral describes it as "partial 16S ribosomal RNA". It matches the Rfam family "Bacterial small subunit ribosomal RNA", at positions 524 to 776 of the family's 1533-position model. The record is from RNAcentral.